Falco tinnunculus (common kestrel) is the source of this 2655-nucleotide long non-coding RNA. Lineage: Eukaryota; Metazoa; Chordata; Aves; Falconiformes; Falconidae. The record is from Ensembl.
GCAGCACGGGAGAGUGCAAUGAACCCUAUCGCAGCAACAGGAGGAAGAGGGAACAGGGGACGUAACUCAUCUGUACUUAUGGACUGGAAGUUACGGGAGGAAAGACGUGAAAAAGUAUGAUGUGAGAGGACGGGUGACGUGGAGCAGCAUUAAGUGGUGCUUGGAGAGAGGGAUCAUUUCAGUAUCAUUUCCACUUAAGAGUUUAGUAAUAGAGCGGGUGGCGGGCCUCUGGGACCACCUGGGCCUGGUGCUGUGGCCGUGCUAUGGUGACGGAGAGCCCCUUUUGGCAAAGCACAGUCGGAGGAGCACCCCUGGAGAACUUGUUCAGGUGCAUCAGUACCCCCAGCAGCCGCCAGGCCCGCCCCAGGCCCUGCUCCCGGCGGGCGGGCGGGCGGCUGUGAGGCUGCACAGUGGAGCUGCCCUCGGACCGCGCUGCCCCCGGACCUGCACCCCUGGGACAUGUGAGAAUUGCUUCAUCUCAGAAUCUUAUUUUUUUGAACAAACCCGGGGCACGGCAGGUGUGCGGGAGCGGCGCCCGAGGCGCGCAGGGCGGGGAGACGCGGCCGCUCACCGGGCCCAGCCCCGCCGGGCGCUGCCGCUGCCGCUCCUGGGAGAUGUAGUUUGUCGCGCCCUCCCGCCCAGCGCCAUGGCCGUCCCGGGAGUUUGGAACAUGUGAGGAGCUGCCAGAGGAAUCACUAAUAUUUUCAUUUCUGCUUCUUCAGAAGUGUGACGCUCGCUGGUGCUGGACGCAGCCUGCUGUGGGACAGGCAAUAUCACGCAGCCAAGAUGGUGGCAUUUAAUUGGAAGGUGAGGAUGUUUCACAUUCAUAAAGCAGUGAAUUUCUGCUCUUUCAAGCAAAUGCAUGUAAGGUCUGGGUGGGGUGGGUCCUGUGUUUAUAAAGAUGGCUUUGUUGCCUAGGUGAAGGUUGUUUAACCACCACAGUGUCUGCACCUCAGGGACAGAGGACUCGUUGUUGUCCUUUCUUGCUAUACAUGCUUGCACCUUGCGGGCUGGCCCCAGUACUUGCUGUUGGGGCCUCACAGUGCCUACCUGAGCACAACGCUGGUAGACAAGCUCUGCUCUCUCUGCUUGCCUCUGCUCCUCCUGGCUUUCCUCUUUCCAGGCCUUUCCAGCUCCUCUUUCCUCAAUUCCUUUCAUUACUGGAGAGUGUUUUCUCCACUGUGUCUUUUAGUGUAUUGGGGCCAUAAACACUCUGUAGGGUACAUGUGUAAGGCACAGAAGUGUCUGAGCAAGUACCUCAUGCAUUAGCAGUUUUAACAUGUGAAACCAUUUCUCAAGAAAGCAAUGCUAACCCCAAGCCUUGGCUUUACCUUUCUGGUGUUGCAGAACUGUGCUUUAAGAGAUUGCCACUUCUAAUAUGCUGAGAGAUGGACAGAGCAUGAUUUUUUUUUUUUUCCAAAAUUAGAGGGGAGUGGUCUGAUGUCAAAUGUAGCGUUGCAGCUUGUAGAGAUCAGCAUUAUAAAAGACCUCACUUUAGCCUCUGAUUUGUGGACUUUAAGGGGACAGACUAGUUGGUGUAUAGAUACAAGGCUUUUUCUAAAUUCAGUAGUUUGACAAUGACCAAACAACUUUAGAGGUGCUGGAAGGCCUGCUAAGGGUACAAGGAGGGUACUGGAAGGCUUGCUAAGGAGGAGCUGGCACUGUGAACCUACUGUGCUCCCCUGAAAGACCAGACUGAUCCUGCUGGCCAGGUGGCUCUUUGAAAUAUUGGGCUGGGAAGUUCAUGUGCCUUCAGUAUCAGUCUGGAACUAACAUCUUUCACUGAGUGCUUGUGCCACUCAUAUUUGUAUUCCAUGUUCACAGUGUUAUGCAUUUGCAUUUUAUUUUUUAUUCCACAUACACUUAUGGCAGGAUGCUUUUAGAACAUUUAAAUAUGUUGUGCAAUUUCAGUGGUUCCAGGCAUUAAAAACUCCUGAAACUGAAUCAUUGGAGUCUUGGGGUUUUUUACUUUUCUUCUACUUGAAAGGCAUUUAUCUAUACCUUCCAGAUCUGGGCAAGUUAAUUGCAAAACUACCAUGGAUUAAAAUUUCUAGGAGCACAAAAGUGGUUUUGGGGAUCACAUUUGAUAGCUGAUAUGCACAGAUCCAUCGCUGAUGUGAGAAUUGUACAGCAGCAUUCCUACUUUUACAGUUAGCCUACGAUACUCGGUUCUUCCCCCUUUUCAGCUCCAGAUCGUGCCAAUAUUCUGUUUGCUGUAACGCAAGCAAAAGCAACAAAGACCUGUUCAAAGGGGCUUCAUAUACAAACUUGAAUUAACUUGGUUUUGUCCUUUCCCCAGAUGUUGAUCUGCCUAGUUUAAAGUUUUCUACAGAAAAAUCCCGCAUGAACAGAGGAACAUUACCAUUACUUUGAAUAAUGCUGUUGCUGUAGGAAGCUGUAUAGCAUCUCUGUAGAUUAAUUUUUAAUUGUCCAAGUGUUCCAGUAACUACCUAAAUAUAUUAUUUUGCAUUUCAGGCUUUGGAGAAUUUCCCAUUGCUGAUGUACAUUUUGGCAGCUAAAACAUUGAUUCUUUGCUUAGCCUUUGCUGGAGUAAAAAUGUACCAGAGCAAAAAAAUUGAAGAAAAACUGAAGAGGGAACGUGAAGAGAAACAGAAAACAGAAGCAGAGAAGAAGUAUGAUUGAAGAGUCUCUCAG